GCAAGUCGAGGGGUAACAGGUUGGAAUUUCGGUUUCGACGCUGACGACCGGCGAACGGGUGAGUAACGCGUAUGCAACCUACCUUUUACAGGGGAAUAGCUUUCGGAAACGGAAAUUAAUACCCCAUAACGCUGCACUGUGGCAUCACAGAGCAGUUAAAACUCCGGUGGUAAAAGAUGGGCAUGCGUAACAUUAGCUAGUUGGUAAGGUAACGGCUUACCAAGGCUGCGAUGUUUAGGGGACCUGAGAGGGUGAUC
RNAcentral lists this ribosomal RNA (257 nucleotides) under uncultured bacterium. RNAcentral describes it as "partial 16S ribosomal RNA". It matches the Rfam family "Bacterial small subunit ribosomal RNA", at positions 57 to 305 of the family's 1533-position model. The record is from RNAcentral.